Molecule: long non-coding RNA, 331 nt
Filed under: Phascolarctos cinereus (koala)
Lineage: Eukaryota; Metazoa; Chordata; Mammalia; Diprotodontia; Phascolarctidae
Description: lncRNA (ENSPCIG00000013806.2)
Source: RNAcentral
AAAAAACAAAAAACCUUACCCACAAGCCUCUAUCCCUUUUCCUCCAUUUGCUCAAUGUUCCUGCUACCUUUUCUCCAUGGGCAGUCAUUGCAGUGAUUCUGGGGAUCUUUAGCUUAUUGUUGAUGAUAACAUCUGGAUUCUUUGGUUACCAAUAUUUUCAAAAUAUCCAGCAAUCAGCUAGUAAGAUGGAUGACCUCACCAAAGAACUGGAGUCUUUGCUCAACACACUAGAAAACUUCACUGGAACAAUGAAGAAAAUACAAGAGGGUAACUUGGGGAUUGGAAUUUGAUCUCUCGUCAGAGCUUUAGAGUUCCCUCAGUAAUUCUCUGC